CCUACGGGUGGCAGCAGUGGGGAAUUUUGCACAAUGGAGGAAACUCUGAUGCAGCGACGCCGCGUGAGUGAAUGAGUAUUUUGUUAUGUAAAACCCUUUCAGUGGGGCAGAAAGUGACGGUACCCGCAAAAGAAGCUCCGGCUAACUCCGUGCCAGCAGCCGCGGUAAUACGUAUGGAGCAAGCGUUAUCCGGAUUCACUGGGUGUAAAGGGAGAGUAGGCGGCAGGUGAAGUCUGAAGUGAAAGCCGAAGGCUCAACUUUUGGACUGCAUUAGAUACUGCGCAGCUAGAGUGCGGGAGAGGCAAGUGGAAUUCUUGGUGUAGCGGUGAAAUGCGUAGAUAUUAGGAGGAACACCAGUGGCGAAGGCGGGUUGCUGGACUGUAACUGACGCUGAGGCACGAAAGCGAGGGGAGCAAACGGGAUUAGAUACCCGUGUAGUC
RNAcentral lists this ribosomal RNA (440 nucleotides) under uncultured bacterium. RNAcentral describes it as "partial 16S ribosomal RNA". It matches the Rfam family "Bacterial small subunit ribosomal RNA", at positions 338 to 795 of the family's 1533-position model. The record is from RNAcentral.